Molecule: ribosomal RNA, 516 nt
Filed under: uncultured bacterium
Lineage: Bacteria
Description: bacterial SSU rRNA
Rfam family: Bacterial small subunit ribosomal RNA
Source: RNAcentral
AACGAAGCACUUAAGAACGAUUCUUCGGAUGAAGUCUUUUGUGACUGAGUGGCGGACGGGUGAGUAACGCGUGGGUAACCUGCCUCACACAGGGGGAUAACAGUUGGAAACGACCGCUAAUACCGCAUAAGCCAACAGGGGCGCAUGCUCUGGUUGGAAAAGAUUUAUCGGUGUGAGAUGGACCCGCGUCUGAUUAGCCAGUUGGCAGGGUAACGGCCUACCAAAGCGACGAUCAGUAGCCGGCCUGAGAGGGUGAACGGCCACAUUGGGACUGAGACACGGCCCAAACUCCUACGGGAGGCAGCAGUGGGGAAUAUUGCACAAUGGGGGAAACCCUGAUGCAGCGACGCCGCGUGAGUGAAGAAGUAUUUCGGUAUGUAAAGCUCUAUCAGCAGGGAAGAAAAUGACGGUACCUGACCAAGAAGCCCCGGCUAACUACGUGCCAGCAGCCGCGGUAAUACGUAGGGGGCAAGCGUUAUCCGGAUUUACUGGGUGUAAAGGGAGCGUAGACGGUGA